RNAcentral lists this transfer RNA (250 nucleotides) under Pneumocystis jirovecii. RNAcentral's name for it is "tRNA-Pseudo(TAT)". Lineage: Eukaryota; Fungi; Ascomycota; Pneumocystomycetes; Pneumocystales; Pneumocystaceae. The record is from RNAcentral.
UACUAAUAAUUAUAUUAGUAAAAAAUAUUUAAUUUAUAAAUUAUUUGAUUUUUUUAUGAAAUUGAAAAUAGAAAUAACAUUUGAUGAAUAUUUUUAUUGUUUUUAUUAAACAUAAUAAAUUUUAAAAAAUAAAAUAUUAAAUGUCAAAUUCAAUUAUUCUUAAAAUCGUAAAAUAUUAAUAAUAAAAUGAUAUUUUAAGAUAACAUCUAAACAUAAUUAAAAUAAAAUUAUUUUAAAUUGUAUUUAGUAU